This 1302-nucleotide long non-coding RNA is filed under the name Rattus norvegicus (Norway rat). RNAcentral's name for it is "long non-coding RNA NONRATT029546". The record is from RNAcentral. Lineage: Eukaryota; Metazoa; Chordata; Mammalia; Rodentia; Muridae.
CAUCUGGAGCCUGCCUCCCUAACUCCCGAGUUCCCUUUUAACCUCAUUCUGUCCCUCUUCCUUCCACACCCCAGCCCCUCCUCUGUCACCGCCUGCCCAUUCCGCUUCUGGUCCAUUUCUCUCCAGCCCUGGUUGUCCCAGAGACAUCUUUGAGAACAGACGGCAACACACACUUGGGUGCACAUGCGCUCAAGUGCAGACACGCACACGCACACACACUCUCGCUCAGGCUGCCUUGCUGGCUAAUGUCAGGUUUGUCCCUCCCGAAGCCUGGAAGCCUGAAAGCUGGCCACUAGGUCUCCCCUCCCAACCCAGCUCCCAUCUCACGCCUCGUUCAUCUGCUGACAACAUUUCUCACUCCACCAUGUCUCUGCUUCUCUCCAUCUCUCCUGCCCUCUCUAUCUCUGUUUCCGCUGAGCUGGCAUCUGUACCAUCUCUUCCCCCCCCCCCCCCUCUGUGACUGUCUCUGCCCUCACCAGCUGCCUUGCUCUGGGGUGAGUUUGGGUUUUUUUGUUUUUUUUGUUUUUGUUUGUUUGUUUGUUUUUUGUGCCAUCCAGUGAGGGGGGAAUCUAGAUGGGUGAAUAGGGGGAGGGUGGGCAUAAGCAGGGACGGGAGGAGUGGGGUCUAGGCCUGGGGCUUCCCAGUGAAAGCAGUAGUCAAGGGUAGUACAAGAAGUGCCUAGGAUUUGAAUAGACCUUGGUAAAAGAGCCAAGCUAGAGGAGGGCUUGGAGAGUGGCAAAAGCCCCUUCAAUUCCUUCCUGGAGAGACUCCAUAUUUGGACUCACCUAGGGAACUGAUAUCUACCUCUUUCCUGGCCAGGGAGGAAUCUCCAGGCUCCUGGCCUGGUGCAGGGACCAUCCGACUAGAGCAGGAUGUGUUCUCAGCCCUGGCUGGGCAGGGCCAAAUCUAUGUGCACCUCACCGACGGCAUCUGGAGCCAGAUCAAGUCGGCAGGGUAUGUGGGGCUGGAGAAGAGCCUGUGCCACAGAUCUUGAGACUCUUAAGAGCGUGGCACUGGGGUGGUGGGCACAGGCCCUUGUGGACCCUGAGUGCCCCUCCCUGCUUUGGUCCCUAGCUCGGCCCUUUAUGCUUCCCGCCUGUAUCUGGGGCGAUACCAGAUCACCCACCCAGAACGGCUAGCCAGACACACUGCAGGGGGCCCACGAAUCAGAGGAAAUGUUUACAUCCAUCCAACUGCUAAAGUGGCCCCAUCAGCUGUGCUGGGCCCCAAUGUCUCCAUUGGGAAGGGGGUGACCAUAGGCGAGGGUGUGCGUCUGCGGGAGAGUAUUGUCCUCCAUGGAGC